GCGGCCUAUCAGCUUGUUGGUGGGGUAAUGGCCUACCAAGGCAACGACGGGUAGCUGGUCUGAGAGGAUGAUCAGCCACACUGGGACUGAGACACGGCCCAGACUCCUACGGGAGGCAGCAGUGGGGAAUCUUGCGCAAUGGGCGAAAGCCUGACGCAGCAACGCCGCGUGCGGGAUGAAGGCCUUCGGGUUGUAAACCGCUUUCAGCAGGAACGAAAAUGACGGUACCUGCAGAAGAAGGAGCGGCCAACUACGUGCCAGCAGCCGCGGUGACACGUAGGCUCCAAGCGUUGUCCGGAUUUAUUGGGCGUAAAGAGCUCGUAGGCGGUUUAGUAAGUCGGGUGUUAAAACUCUGGGCUCAACCCGGUGACGCCAUCCGAUACUACUAUGACUUGAGUUCAGGAGGGGAGACUGGAAUUCCU
Molecule: ribosomal RNA, 422 nt
Filed under: uncultured Actinomycetes bacterium
Lineage: Bacteria; Bacillati; Actinomycetota; Actinomycetes
Description: bacterial SSU rRNA
Rfam family: Bacterial small subunit ribosomal RNA
Source: RNAcentral